AUGAAAAACUGUGUGCCUCUUCCUUAUUUUAUGCAUGCAUAUUUUUCAGGCUCAGCUGAAUGCGAUGCAUCUGAGCCGUCUGCAUGCUGCCACCACGAGCCCUAGCACGGCUUACCCGAGCCCCUGGCUUCAGAGCGGUGAGGCGAGGCCGUGCUCUCGCUCCAGCCAUGUUGCCAAUAGUGAGGAGGGAAUGCACACCAAGAGCAGCGCAUGUGAAAGACGCCCAUAUGCCAUCCCAACCAUCCCUGAGGUGCAUGAGCCUCUGGAGAGAAAAGCUCGGUUUAGGAGCCGCAAUGUCAUGUCUCUGGGUGAUGCGGACAGUUUGUGUCUGAUCUGCCAUGAUGACCUACGCAAAGGAGGAGGAGUUAUCAGAAAGCUUCACUGUUCCCACAGCUUCCACAGUGAGUGCAUAGAGGAAUGGCUAUGGAAUAAGCAGACCUGUCCCACGUGUCAAAAGCAUGUUGCCAUGCCAGAGCCACUGUACUGGACAUCUACCAGAGUAAUAGUGCCCUGAGCUCUUCCAGCUCCCAUUCAAACUACCUUGGACAUCAGAUGGGUAACAAAAACAUCAGACAUGAUGGUGGAUAACUAACAAUGCAGCUAUUUCCUACAAAAAAGGUAGUCAUAUGACUAAUCACAAAGAGGAGAUUUUGUUACAGAUUGGUACAGCAUUUCUUUGUACAUAGGCU
This 689-nucleotide long non-coding RNA is filed under the name Sinocyclocheilus grahami. RNAcentral describes it as "lncRNA (ENSSGRG00000031922.1)". The record is from RNAcentral. Lineage: Eukaryota; Metazoa; Chordata; Actinopteri; Cypriniformes; Cyprinidae.